Molecule: ribosomal RNA, 322 nt
Filed under: uncultured Anaerolineaceae bacterium
Lineage: Bacteria; Bacillati; Chloroflexota; Anaerolineae; Anaerolineales; Anaerolineaceae
Description: bacterial SSU rRNA
Rfam family: Bacterial small subunit ribosomal RNA
Source: RNAcentral
UGGCUGUCGUCAGCUCGUGUCGUGAGAUGUUCGGUUAAGUCCGCUAACGAGCGCAACCCUCACUGUGUGUUAUAUGUGUCACACGGGACUGCCGGUUUUAAGCCGGAGGAAGUGGGGAUGACGUCAAGUCAGCAUGGCCUUUAUAUCCUGGGCUACACACACGCUACAAUGGUCGGUACAAUAGGUUGCCAAGCCGCGAGGCGGAGCCAAUCCACAAAGCCGGCCUCAGUUCAGAUUGUAGGCUGCAACUCGCCUGCAUGAAGAUGGAGUUGCUAGUAACCGCAGGUCAGCAAUACUGCCGGUGAAUACGUUCCCGGGUCUU